GACGAACGCUGGCGGCGUGCUUAACACAUGCAAGUCGAACGGAAAGGCCCUGCUUUUGUGGGGUGCUCGAGUGGCGAACGGGUGAGUAACACGUGAGUAACCUGCCCUUGACUUUGGGAUAACUUCAGGAAACUGGGGCUAAUACCGGAUAGGAGCUCCUGCUGCAUGGUGGGGGUUGGAAAGUUUCGGCGGUUGGGGAUGGACUCGCGGCUUAUCAGCUUGUUGGUGGGGUAGUGGCUUACCAAGGCUUUGGCGGGUAGCCGGCCUGAGAGGGUGACCGGGCACAUUGGGACUGAGAUACGGCCCAGACUCCUACGGGAGGCAGCAGUGGGGAAUAUUGCACAAUGGGCGGAAGCCAGAUGCAGCAACGCCGCGUGCGGGAUGACGGCCUUCGGGUUGUAAACCGCUUUCGCCUGUGACGAAGCGUGAGUGACGGUAAUGGGUAAAGAAGCACCGGCUAACUACGUG
RNAcentral lists this ribosomal RNA (468 nucleotides) under uncultured bacterium. RNAcentral's name for it is "partial 16S ribosomal RNA". It matches the Rfam family "Bacterial small subunit ribosomal RNA", at positions 28 to 507 of the family's 1533-position model. The record is from RNAcentral.